RNAcentral lists this long non-coding RNA (329 nucleotides) under Capra hircus (goat). Its description in RNAcentral is "lncRNA (ENSCHIG00010021606.1)". Lineage: Eukaryota; Metazoa; Chordata; Mammalia; Artiodactyla; Bovidae. The record is from RNAcentral.
CUGUGAAAAAUAUCUUCCCUUAUACCAGAAGAAAAGUAAUAUUCUUAUCUUCCUUCUUGCUGCUGGUUAUUCAGACUGCAAUAAGUGGCAAGUGGGUGAGAGCUCCCUUUUCAAGACUUCCUGACUCCAUUUAAGAUGACGUUUCCUGUAUUUAUUUUCAUACACACCCUCGUUUAUUUUCAUAUCUCAACUCCAGCACUGUUGUAGACACAUCAAAGUUCAGAAGGAAAGGUCCAUGGUUAACUCUAAUUUUGAAGCAAUCUAAGGAAUCUGGCAAUCUGCUCGGAGUGGUACCCGCAUGAGAGCUUUCCCCUUUGGGGCUUCCUGAU